GCCUGAGCUCUCUAGGGCUUCUAUAAACAGGAUGGGGAUGAACUCCUUUGAACUUUCUUAAAAUCCCAGUUCACUGGAGAAGGUGCCCAUCCAUGAGUGCUGAACCACCAGAGAAGAAGGAAGGCACAGAGAAGUAGCAGCCAAGAAAAAAGACCAGGAAAUAUGAUGUAAACAAUCAAGUAUGUCCGUGAUCAUUUGAGGAAGGAGUGAACAGUAACUAUGUUGCUAUGAUGUCAUUGGACCAGUCAGCUGAGAAUAACUCAGAUGCUUGGUGAUGGAAGACUAACUCUGGCAGCCCAGUGAGCUUCAGCCUUCUUACUGAAGCUAAAUUCCCCACUGCUUGUGCAUAAAUUACCCAUCCCCCA
This is a long non-coding RNA of Trichosurus vulpecula (common brushtail), 365 nucleotides long. RefSeq lists it as uncharacterized. The record is from RefSeq and is a predicted model, not a curated record. NCBI's taxonomy places the organism in Eukaryota, Metazoa, Chordata, Mammalia, Diprotodontia, Phalangeridae. The transcript has 3 exons.